RNAcentral lists this ribosomal RNA (253 nucleotides) under uncultured bacterium. Its description in RNAcentral is "partial 16S ribosomal RNA". It matches the Rfam family "Bacterial small subunit ribosomal RNA", at positions 524 to 776 of the family's 1533-position model. The record is from RNAcentral.
UACGGGGGGGGCAAGCGUUGUUCGGAAUUACUGGGCGUAAAGGGCUCGUAGGUGGCCAACUAAGUCAGACGUGAAAUCCCUCGGCUUAACCGGGGAACUGCGUCUGAUACUGGAUGGCUUGAGGUUGGGAGAGGGAUGCGGAAUUCCAGGUGUAGCGGUGAAAUGCGUAGAUAUCUGGAGGAACACCGGUGGCGAAGGCGGCAUCCUGGGCCGAAACUGACGCUGAGGAGCGAAAGCGUGGGUAGCAAACAGG